RNAcentral lists this long non-coding RNA (2536 nucleotides) under Triticum aestivum (bread wheat). RNAcentral describes it as "long non-coding RNA (TAES_LNC012094)". Lineage: Eukaryota; Viridiplantae; Streptophyta; Magnoliopsida; Poales; Poaceae. The record is from RNAcentral.
CUAGGAUGCUUCUCGGGAUGCCAUGGCCCUUCCUCCCGCUGGUUCUCCUUGCUCCUCAAGGUCCGCACAUCUCUGGUCGAUUGAUUCAGCUCCAGCGUCAAGGACACAACGGCAGCAGCAGCAAGGUUCGCCCCGCCUCUUGAUUUAAUCUUCUUCCAAUCCGUUGCCUUCUGAUGCUCGUGGACUCCUUCUUCUUCUUCUACAACUUCUCAUCAUCUCCUAUUGAUGUGUGCUCAUAUUAUGUCAAGGAAAGGAAUUCAAGGCCAUGGGAGCUUCUUCUAGUAUAGGACGUGUUGGACCUGCUGCUGUUGCUGGUUGUGUUCCCCAACCAAGUCCCCAAGCUGCAUCUUGCUACUCCUGCCUCGGCCGUACUCAACUUGCUCCUGGACAGCUACUGCAGGUGAGACAAUUGCCUCCAUCUACUGCAGGUAGAACUACUAUGUAGUUUGGUUGUAGCAGCAACUGUUGUAGGUUGGAAUAUAUAUGUGGUUUCAUAAGCUGGUGCUGCUAGUUGUUAUGGGAAUAUAUAUCUUAGUGCUUUUGGGGUUGUUCCUGUGGAUCCGGCGAGUUUAGUUUGGUUGUAGCAGCAACUGUAACUUUGUAUUACAUAUACUACAAGUUUGUACAGGAUUUUCGUUUGCUAGGAAACAUGGUCAUAUAUUCAUCUUUAAUGCUAGUUGUAUAUUUAGCGCAUCCAUAUGUGCAAGAAAAGGGUUCAGACAGAGAGGGGUACCUGUUUAUCAUGAUUUUUGCACCAGUUUAUCAUAUUGGUCUCCUGUAUUGUACUUUGAAGUUUAUCAUGUUGUGAAGCUGACCCUUCAAAUUGGGUUGCAGAGGAGGUAUGGCUGCCGCGCAAUGAUGCUGGAGACUGUUGCCGCAAUGCUGGGGAUGGAGACAGAUUGCACUGGAAAUAUUUUGUUAUUCCUUGCCUAAUGUUCUUGUUGCUGAUAAUAGGGCAUGUAGAUAGCAAGUUAUUUUCCUAGUGGUUACUUAUGCUUAUUGUGUAUCACAUUUAAAAAGAAAAUGCACAAUGAGCUUGUUUGAUCUUUCUUAUGCUUAUGUAUGCUUGAUCAAGGUAGUUCUUUUUUAAUUUGUUGACAAUGAACCAAUAUAACCAGUCAUCAGUAGCUAGUGUGCAUUGCCAAGUACAACAGUUCUACAUUGUAUGGAAUCAUCUAUAGAUAUUAUUUAUUUAAGUGUUGCUGGCUAUAUUGAAAUUAUACACUGAGGCGCUGUAGCAUUAGUGCACUGUAGCAUAUUAUUAUGAUUAAAGACUACCUACUGAUUUAGAAAUCGAGGAACACAUUAUCUGAGAAGAUAAUGGAAGUGUGAGAAAUUAGAAUCGUCUUUGUAUGCUAUACCAUAUAUAUGCUAUUUAUUUGUAUGCUAUUUAUCCAUGUGAUGCAACAUUAUCUGUAUGCUAUUUAUCCAUGUGAUGCAACAUUUUAAUGAACUUGUUAAACUGUUUGUCAAAAUUUAAAAUUAUGCUCCCUUGUGAAAUUUAUUGACAGGAUCUAUGCUAUAAGGACCUGGAGCAUCUAUUCUAAAAUCAUAGCUACAAGUUGUUGCUGUCGAUGGUGCCAUGGUGGUGCACAAUGUCUUUGGACUUCUCUGAGCUAAAGGUUCAUUCAAGAUUAGCCAAUGAUUCAUGUGAGCAUCUAUUCUGAAAACCCGGCAGCAGUUUUUUAUUUCCUGGAACUGUUUCAAUACUGCUAGAGUCUAAUGCUUACACUAGCUUCCCUAACUUAUCCCUAUGCAAAGACUCAUUAUACAAAUCAGAUACAAAUAUGAUCCCAUGUAUGAGUAAAGCUGGAUGACCAUCCAUUUGGUAAGAUUACAUAAUUGGUAGAACAAGUUAUCUAGAGAACUAAAUUGUUUGAAGCACGAAAGUUGAAUUUGCAUGCCGCUGAAUACUAUGUAAAUUCUACACUACUGAAAGUGUGCAGCUUAUGAUUCCUUUGCUGAAACAUGAAUGUACAGAUGGGAGUAUCACAACAUGCAUAUACUGAAGAUGGGAGUAUCACAACAUGCAUAUACUGAAGAUGGGAGUAUCACAACCUGAAUGUGCAGCUUAUGUAGUUUCUGUAUUUUUGUUAAAGCAUAUACUCUAGGAGGAGGAGCACCAUCUCAGGUUUGUCACUUGCUCCUCCACUUCUCUUAUCUUCUUCUUCUCCAUCUCCCCAUCUAAUUCAUGCGUUUCUUUGCAGGUUGCUCCGAUCUGGUUGUGUGAAGGAACAUGCAAGGUCUGCUACUACUGUUGUGCUCCCUCGAACGAUCUGGUGAAGGACAAUUUGGUCCAUAGGUCCAAUUACUGUAGCUAGCUAUCACACUUGUAGAGCUUGUAAUAUUGUGAUUCCAAUUGUAUUACGUGUUAUUGGUAGAGUAAGAGCUCCAUACUGAUUCUAGCUAUUGUUAUUUGAACUAUUACAUGUGUUUUCUGUCUGUUUGAAUUUAAAUAUUUGUUAUUUAUUCACUGGCAUAUUGAAAUCUGAAGAACAUGACCUUGACAUGAGGGACCCACAAAACAGAACCUGAC